AUAACAUUUACAGAUACAACGGAUGAUGACUUUCAAAAAGAUUGUUUGAAAACAUCAAACAACUAUCGAAACCGUCACCACUCACCACAACUAUCCCUCAAUCAAUCUCUAAUAUCUUAUGCAAAAAAUCGAUGCAAACACAGGUAUCUCUUAAUGAUAAGCUUAUCCAUCCAAAUGAUAAGAGUAUCGGUGAAAACUUAAGUCGAAUAUCUACUAAUACUAAUAGUUGUAAUCGGGCUGUAAAUCGAUGGUAUAACGAAUCAUUGGCUUACAAUUAUAAUAAUUUUGUAUUUAGUAACAUUACCGGUCAUUUUACUCAACUAAUUCCCUAUAAAUUCCCAAUAAAUUCUCUAAAUUCCCAAAAAAUUCCAUAUAAAUUCCCAAUAAAUUAACUAAUAAAAAUAUUC
Long non-coding RNA from Oppia nitens, 407 nucleotides. RefSeq lists it as uncharacterized. NCBI's taxonomy places the organism in Eukaryota, Metazoa, Arthropoda, Arachnida, Sarcoptiformes, Oppiidae. The record is from RefSeq and is a predicted model, not a curated record. The transcript is spliced from 3 exons.